This 492-nucleotide ribosomal RNA is filed under the name uncultured bacterium. Its description in RNAcentral is "partial 16S ribosomal RNA". It matches the Rfam family "Bacterial small subunit ribosomal RNA", at positions 29 to 507 of the family's 1533-position model. The record is from RNAcentral.
AGUGAACGCUGGCGGUAGGCCUAACACAUGCAAGUCGAACGGCAGCACAGUAAGAGCUUGCUCUUACGGGUGGCGAGUGGCGGACGGGUGAGGAAUACAUCGGAAUCUACUUUUUCGUGGGGGAUAACGUAGGGAAACUUACGCUAAUACCGCAUACGACCUACGGGUGAAAGCAGGGGAUCUUCGGACCUUGCGCGAUUGAAUGAGCCGAUGUCGGAUUAGCUAGUUGGCGGGGUAAAGGCCCACCAAGGCGGCGAUCCGUAGCUGGUCUGAGAGGAUGAUCAGCCACACUGGAACUGAGACACGGUCCAGACUCCUACGGGAGGCAGCAGUGGGGAAUAUUGGACAAUGGGCGCAAGUCUGAUCCAGCCAUACCGCGUGGGUGAAGAAGGCCUUCGGGUUGUAAAGCCCUUUUGUUGGGAAAGAAAAGCAGCAGGUUAAUACCCCGCUGUUCUGACGGUACCCAAAGAAUAAGCACCGGCUAACUUCGUG